RNAcentral lists this ribosomal RNA (448 nucleotides) under uncultured organism. Its description in RNAcentral is "partial 16S ribosomal RNA". It matches the Rfam family "Bacterial small subunit ribosomal RNA", at positions 334 to 798 of the family's 1533-position model. The record is from RNAcentral.
CACUCCUGCGGGAGGCAGCAGUGGGGAAUAUUGGACCAUGGGCGCAAGCCUGAUCCAGCCAUGCCGCGUGAGUGAUGAAGGCCCUAGGGUUGUAAAGCUCUUUCACCGGUGAAGAUAAUGACGGUAACCGGAGAAGAAGCCCCGGCUAACUUCGUGCCAGCAGCCGCGGUAAUACGAAGGGGGCUAGCGUUGUUCGGAUUUACUGGGCGUAAAGCGCACGUAGGCGGACUAUUAAGUCAGGGGUGAAAUCCCGGGGCUCAACCCCGGAACUGCCUUUGAUACUGGUAGUCUUGAGUUCGAGAGAGGUGAGUGGAAUUCCGAGUGUAGAGGUGAAAUUCGUAGAUAUUCGGAGGAACACCAGUGGCGAAGGCGGCUCACUGGCUCGAUACUGACGCUGAGGUGCGAAAGCGUGGGGAGCAAACAGGAUUAGAAACCCGUGUAGUCCCAU